This 465-nucleotide ribosomal RNA is filed under the name uncultured bacterium. RNAcentral describes it as "partial 16S ribosomal RNA". It matches the Rfam family "Bacterial small subunit ribosomal RNA", at positions 28 to 507 of the family's 1533-position model. The record is from RNAcentral.
GACGAACGCUGGCGGCGUGCUUAACACAUGCAAGUCGAACGGAAAGGCCCUGCUUGCAGGGUACUCGAGUGGCGAACGGGUGAGUAACACGUGGGUGAUCUGCCCUGCACUUCGGGAUAAGCCUGGGAAACUGGGUCUAAUACCGGAUAUGACCUUCCAUGUAGUGUGGGGGGUGGAAAGAUUUAUCGGUGUGGGAUGAGCCCGCGGCCUAUCAGCUUGUUGGUGGGGUAAUGGCCUACCAAGGCGUCGACGGGUAGCCGGCCUGAGAGGGUGGACGGCCACAUUGGGACUGAGAUACGGCCCAGACUCCUACGGGAGGCAGCAGUGGGGAAUAUUGCACAAUGGGCGGAAGCCUGAUGCAGCGACGCCGCGUGGGGGAUGACGGCCUUCGGGUUGUAAACCUCUUUCGACAGGGACGAAGCUUCGGUGACGGUACCUGUAUAAGAAGCACCGGCUAACUACGCG